Molecule: ribosomal RNA, 375 nt
Filed under: uncultured organism
Description: partial 16S ribosomal RNA
Rfam family: Bacterial small subunit ribosomal RNA
Source: RNAcentral
GUAGGUGGCUAGCGUUGUCCGGGAAUUAUUGGGGCGUAAAGCGCGCGCAGGCGGUCCUUUAAGUCUGAUGUGAAAGCCCACGGGCUCAACCGUGGGAGGGUCAUUGGAAACUGGGGGACUUGAGUGCAGAAGAGAAGAGUGGAAUUCCACGUGUAGCGGUGAAAUGCGUAGAGAUGUGGAGGAACACCAGUGGCGAAGGCGACUCUUUGGUCUGUAACUGACGCUGAGGCGCGAAAGCGUGGGGAGCAAACAGGAUUAGAUACCCUGGUAGUCCACGCCGUAAACGAUGAGUGCUAAGUGUUAGAGGGUUUCCGCCCUUUAGUGCUGCAGCAAACGCAUUAAGCACUCCGCCUGGGGAGCACGGCCGCAAGGCUG